This 383-nucleotide ribosomal RNA is filed under the name uncultured bacterium. RNAcentral describes it as "bacterial SSU rRNA". It matches the Rfam family "Bacterial small subunit ribosomal RNA", at positions 28 to 412 of the family's 1533-position model. The record is from RNAcentral.
GACGAACGCUGGCGGCGUGCUUAACACAUGCAAGUCGAGCGGUAAGGCCCUUUCGGGGGUACACGAGCGGCGAACAGGUGAGUAACACGUGGGUGACCUGCCCUUAGCUCUGGGAUAAGCCUGGGAAACUGGGUCUAAUACCGGAUAUGACUCCAUGACGCAUGUUGUGGGGUGGAAAGCCUUGUGCGGCUAGGGAUGGGCCCGCGGCCUAUCAGCUUGUUGGUGGGGUGANGGCCUACCAAGGCGACGACGGGUAGCCGGCCUGAGAGGGCGACCGGCCACACUGGGACUGAGACACGGCCCAGACUCCUACGGGAGGCAGCAGUGGGGAAUCUUGCGCAAUGGGCGAAAGCCUGACGCAGCGACGCCGCGUGGGGGAUGAC